RNAcentral lists this ribosomal RNA (303 nucleotides) under uncultured bacterium. Its description in RNAcentral is "partial 16S ribosomal RNA". It matches the Rfam family "Bacterial small subunit ribosomal RNA", at positions 507 to 807 of the family's 1533-position model. The record is from RNAcentral.
AGCAGUAGCCGCGGUAAUACGAAGGGGGCUAGCGUUGCUCGGAAUUACUGGGCGUAAAGGGAGCGUAGGCGGAUCGUUAAGUUGGGGGUGAAAGCCCGGGGCUCAACCUCGGAAUUGCCUUCAAUACUGGCGAUCUUGAGUAUGGAAGAGGUAUGUGGAACUCCGAGUGUAGAGGUGAAAUUCGUAGAUAUUCGGAAGAACACCAGUGGCGAAGGCGACAUACUGGUCCAUUACUGACGCUGAGGCUCGAAAGCGUGGGGAGCAAACAGGAUUAGAUACCCCAGUAGUCCCUGUCUCUUAUAC